UUAUUAUUAUAUUUUAUUUUAAUUAAGACAAAGAAAGAUUUGAUAAAAAAAAUUUUUUUUAAUGCACAUUAAGGUGAAUAAUAAUAAUAAUAAUAAUAUUUUGAUAAUGAUCCUUCCGCAGGUUCACCUACGGAAA
Molecule: unclassified non-coding RNA, 136 nt
Filed under: uncultured fungus
Lineage: Eukaryota; Fungi
Description: sequence contains ITS1
Source: RNAcentral